Gossypium raimondii (Peruvian cotton) is the source of this 899-nucleotide long non-coding RNA. RefSeq lists it as uncharacterized. The record is from RefSeq and is a predicted model, not a curated record. The transcript is spliced from 2 exons. Lineage: Eukaryota; Viridiplantae; Streptophyta; Magnoliopsida; Malvales; Malvaceae.
UAAUCAAAAAAAAAUGAAAUUAAAAUAAAACGAAGGACUAAUCUGCCACACGCACAUUACAUGGGGGGCCAAAAUGGAAAUAAUCCCUCUCCCCAAACGGUGCAUUUAAAUAAGGAUCAAAAUGAAACAAAAGCAAAGUGUGCGACCACAUUUAAAAGAAACAAAAACUGAUUUAAAAACGAUUUUAAAACUUGAAGGACCAAAUGCGUAAAUGGACCAUUUAAAGGAAUACACGCGGAUCCUGGAACCGGGUCGGGUCGGCGCGCGGAUCUCCCUAACCAAACGGCGUAAUUUUUGGGCCACUAAAACAGGCCCUAAACGACGUCGUUUUAUGCCUGUAUAAAACCAACAUCUUUUCCUAAAACCAUUCAUUUUUUGCCAUUUUCUUCAAAACAAAAACUGAUGAACCCUAGCUUUCUCUGCUAGGGUUCCAACUUUUAGCCGCCGCCGCCGCUCCAAACCCCGAUCUCGGCCUGGCCUCCGAUUGCGACGGAGACGGCGACGAUCCAACAACUCCGACGAAAAAAGGUAUUGCUUGGAGAAGAAUGCGCGCGACGUGCGUGGAACGGCAGAUGCGACGUGCGGGAGCGAGGGGCGCAAUAUGCGGGGGCGGUUGCAGCUUGCGGCAACUGUUAGUGGCUAGGAAGCUAGGGUUUUUUUUUUUGUUUUAGGCUGAUGGGGCUUGGGUCAAAUGGGAUAUUUGGGCCUUGAUGGGUUUAGGCCUACUAGAAAAAAAACUGGAUGCAUGCUUUGUUUUGUGCGGGCCCGGGCAUUAUUGGGCUUGUACAAUGGGUUUAUCCUUUUUAUACAAUAUUAAGGUGGUAUCAGAUAAUAUAGCUUGAAUCCGUACCUAUUUAUCGCUCUAUUUAUAUUAACACUUUAAUUUUUCUAAGUUACAA